GACGAACGCUGGCGGCGUGCUUAAUACAUGCAAGUCGAACGGAAAGGCCCUGCUUUUGUGGGGUGCUCGAGUGGCGAACGGGUGAGUAACACGUGAGUAACCUGCCCUUGACUUUGGGAUAACUUCAGGAAACUGGUGCUAAUACCGGAUAGGAGCUCCUGCUGCAUGGGGGGGUUUGGAAAGUUUCGGAGGUUGGGGAUGGACUCGCGGCUUAUCAGCUUGUUGGUGGGGUAGUGGCUUACCAAGGCUUUGACGGGUAGCCGGCCUGAGAGGGUGACCGGGCACAUUGGGCCUGAGAUACGGCCCAGACUCCUACGGGAGGCAGCAGUGGAGAAUAUUGCAAAAUGGGCGGAAGCCUGAUGCAGCAACGCCGCGUGCGGGAUGACGGCCUUCGGGUUGUAAACCGCUUUCGCCUGUGACGAAGCGUGAGUGACGGUAAUGGGUAAAGAAGCACCGGCUAACUACGUG
RNAcentral lists this ribosomal RNA (468 nucleotides) under uncultured bacterium. Its description in RNAcentral is "partial 16S ribosomal RNA". It matches the Rfam family "Bacterial small subunit ribosomal RNA", at positions 28 to 507 of the family's 1533-position model. The record is from RNAcentral.